Molecule: ribosomal RNA, 877 nt
Filed under: uncultured Nitrososphaerota archaeon
Lineage: Archaea; Thermoproteati; Nitrososphaerota
Description: bacterial SSU rRNA
Rfam family: Archaeal small subunit ribosomal RNA
Source: RNAcentral
ACCUGACUGCUAUCGGAUUGAUACUAAGCCAUGCGAGUCAUUGUAGCAAUACAAGGCAGACGGCUCAGUAACACGUAGUCAAUCUAACCUAUGGACGGGGAUAACCUCGGGAAACUGAGAAUAAUACCCGAUAGGCCACCAUGCCUGGAAUGGUUUGUGGCCCAAAUGAUUUAUCGCCGUAGGAUGGGACUGCGGUCUAUCAGCUUGUUGGUGAGGUAAUGGCCCACCAAGGCUAUAACAGAUACGGGCUCUGAGAGGAGAGGCCCGGAGAUGGGUACUGAGACACGGACCCAGGCCCUAUGGGGCGCUGCAGGCGAGAAAACUUUGCAAUGUGCGAAAGCACGACAAGGUUAAUCCGAGUGUUUUCUGCUAAAGAAAUCUUUUACCGGUCUUAAAACCACCGGCGAAUAAGGGGUGGGCAAGUUCUGGUGUCAGCCGCCGCGGUAAAACCAGCACCUCAAGUGGUCAGGAGGAUUAUUGGGCCUAAAGCAUCCGUAGCCUGCCGUGUAAGUUUUCGGUUAAAUCUAUGCGCUCAACGCAUAGGCUGCCGGAAAUACUGCACGGCUAGGGAGUGGGAGAGGUAGACGGUACUCAGUAGGAAGGGGUAAAAUCCUUUGAUCUAUUGAUGACCCCCUGUGGCGAAGGCGGUCUACUAGAACACGUCCGACGGUGAGGGAUGAAAGCUGGGGGAGCAAACCGGAUUAGAUACCCGGGUAGUCCCAGCUGUAAACAAUGCAAACUCGGUGAUGCAUUGGCGUAAGAGCCAGUGCAGUGCCGCAGGGAAGCCGUUAAGUUUGCCGCCUGGGAAGUACGUACGCAAGUAUGAAACUUAAAGGAAUUGGCGGGGGAGCACCACAAGGGGUGAAGCCUGCGGUUC